UUUCUUGCGACCCUCAAGGACAGUGGAUUAUGGGCUUUGCCAAUAAAUCAUACCUAGUUACCAGUGUUUAGACAUAACUUCUUGCACUACUUACGGGCUUGAAAAUUGUUGUACACUAUCACCUCACACCCAUCGUCACUGAGACUGAUGCCCAAGAAAUCAUAGGUAUGGAUAGACCACCUAUCCAACGUCUAUAAAGAGCAAAAUAGUAUUGCAGAUAAUUUAGUCAAGUAUAGAGCCACGCAUGCAGUUAGGAACAAUUGUCAACUUUUUGCAAACCCACCUCUUUCUGUCGAGCCACUCUACCAGAAAGAUCAAGCAGGAACAACGUAGCAAAGGCUCAUUAACCAAACCAAAUAGUUCUCUACCAGUGUUCUAAUACAACUGAUCUAUGAUCUAUCUUGUUUUUGUAAUAGUAAUAUUUCGUCUCGUACUGAACCCCGUGUUGGGCUACCUGUAGUAACUCCUAAUAUCACUAGCUUAGUUGCUUCGAUGCCUAUGAUGCAUCUCGCUCUCUGUAAUAAAGUUACUGUUUAAUUUCUAUUAAUAUAACUUCUUCCUUAUAACCAAAAAAACCAUCGUUCUUAAGCUAGCUGUCGCUCCUCCUUUCGUCCUCCCAAUAAUUUCUACUUUUUUUUCCUUAUGUUCUCCUCGUUGCUUUUUCUAUGUUAAUGUUUCACUAUUGCAGCAAUAUGCCUAUUGGAAGCCAUGAG
Molecule: long non-coding RNA, 713 nt
Filed under: Nicotiana benthamiana
Lineage: Eukaryota; Viridiplantae; Streptophyta; Magnoliopsida; Solanales; Solanaceae
Description: long non-coding RNA (NBEN_LNC018367)
Source: RNAcentral